UCUCUAGGCAAUGGAUGUCUUGGCUCCUCACACGAUGAAGAACGUGGCAUAAUGUGUUAAGUAACCGGAGUUGCAAACAUCAUGACAGGUUAAUCUUUGAAUGCAAAUUGCGCCCUUCCGGUUUCGGCCGUGUGGGCAUGGAUGCAACCAGUACUACAUAAUUUAUAA
Molecule: ribosomal RNA, 168 nt
Filed under: Trichomonas gallinae
Lineage: Eukaryota; Parabasalia; Trichomonadida; Trichomonadidae
Description: 5.8S ribosomal RNA
Rfam family: 5.8S ribosomal RNA
About the family: 5.8S ribosomal RNA (5.8S rRNA) is a component of the large subunit of the eukaryotic ribosome.
Source: RNAcentral